UGGGGGAUAUUGCACAAUGGGCGAAAGCCUGAUGCAGCGACGCCGCGUGGGGGAUGAAGGCUUUCGGGUUGUAAACCUCUUUCGCUAUCGAACAAGGCCCGCUUAGGGUGGGUUGAGGGUAGGUGGAGAAGAAGCGCCGGCUAACUACGUGCCAGCAGCCGCGGUAAUACGUAGGGCGCGAGCGUUGUCCGGAAUUAUUGGGCGUAAAGGGCUUGUAGGCGGCUUGUUGCGCCUGCUGUGAAAACGCGGGGCUUAACUUCGCGCGUGCAGUGGGUACGGGCAGGCUUGAGUGUGGUAGGGGUGACUGGAAUUCCAGGUGUAGCGGUGGAAUGCGCAGAUAUCUGGAGGAACACCGAUGGCGAAGGCAGGUCACUGGGCCAUUACUGAUGCUGAGGAGCGAAAGCAUGGGUAGCGAACAGG
This 420-nucleotide ribosomal RNA is filed under the name bacterium. RNAcentral's name for it is "partial 16S ribosomal RNA". It matches the Rfam family "Bacterial small subunit ribosomal RNA", at positions 355 to 776 of the family's 1533-position model. The record is from RNAcentral.